GAGGCCAAACCUCGUCAGCACACUCUACGUUUGCUGCAAGACAUAGAUUGAUUCAAUAUAGUUGCGAGUCAAUUUAAUAACCCUUUCAGUAGUUGGAA
This 98-nucleotide small RNA is filed under the name Prochlorococcus marinus str. MIT 9301. Its description in RNAcentral is "Cyanobacterial functional RNA 13". It matches the Rfam family "Cyanobacterial functional RNA 13". The record is from Rfam by way of RNAcentral. Lineage: Bacteria; Bacillati; Cyanobacteriota; Cyanophyceae; Synechococcales; Prochlorococcaceae.